GAUGAACGCUGGCGGCGUGCUUAACACAUGCAAGUCGAACGAACCUUCGGGUUAGUGGCGGACGGGUGAGUAACGCGUGAGAAUUUGCCCUCAGGAGGGGGAUAACGGCUGGAAACGGCCGCUAAUACCCCAUAUGCCGCGAGGUGAAAUGAAUUUCGCCUGAGGAUGAGCUCGCGUUUGAUUAGCUAGUUGGUGGGGUAAGAGCCUACCAAGGCAUCGAUCAGUAGCUGGUUUGAGAGGAUGAUCAGCCACACUGGGACUGAGACACGGCCCAGACUCCUACGGGAGGCAGCAGUGGGGAAUUUUCCGCAAUGGGCGAAAGCCUGACGGAGCAACGCCGCGUGAGGGAUGAAGGCCUUUGGGCUGUAAACCUCUUUUAUCAAGGAAGAAGAUUUGACGGUUCGUGGUGAAUAAGCCACGGCUAAUUCCGUGCCAGCAGCCCCGG
Molecule: ribosomal RNA, 445 nt
Filed under: uncultured bacterium
Lineage: Bacteria
Description: bacterial SSU rRNA
Rfam family: Bacterial small subunit ribosomal RNA
Source: RNAcentral